RNAcentral lists this microRNA precursor (68 nucleotides) under Ovis aries (sheep). RNAcentral's name for it is "miRNA (ENSOARG00000022431.1)". Lineage: Eukaryota; Metazoa; Chordata; Mammalia; Artiodactyla; Bovidae. The record is from RNAcentral.
CAAAAAAGUUCAUUUGGGUUUUUCUGUAAUAUUUUAGGAAAACCCAAAUGAAAUUUUUGGCCAACACA